UUUCAAUAGCAAAGAAAGAAAACCAAAAUCAUGCUUUGCAAGCUCCCAUUAGCCCUUUGUUUUCUCUUGGGCACAGCCCUGAUCUUUCCCUCUUACGCCCAAGACACACAACAAGAUUAUCUGAGUGCUCACAACCAGGCUCGGGCAGCUGUGAAUGUUGGACCCUUGACCUGGGAUGACAAGGUCGCAGCUUACGCACAGAACUAUGCAAGCCAACGUAUUAGCGACUGCAAUCUUGUGCACUCUGGUGGGCCUUACGGCGAGAACCUGGCAUGGAGCAGUGCUGACCUUUCAGGCACAGAUGCUGUAAAGAUGUGGGUUGAUGAAAAGGCCUAUUAUGAUUAUAAUUCUAAUUCUUGUGCUCAAGGCCAACAGUGUGGGCACUAUACUCAGGUGGUUUG
Molecule: unclassified non-coding RNA, 401 nt
Filed under: Hevea brasiliensis (rubber tree)
Lineage: Eukaryota; Viridiplantae; Streptophyta; Magnoliopsida; Malpighiales; Euphorbiaceae
Source: RNAcentral